AGUGGAUGGGGAGCAACAAAAGUUGUGUGUGUGUAAAGGUAGCGCCAAGAAAAGCUGAGUUGAUGUUGAACAAAAGAUUCCGGUACCCGAAACCGACACAGGUGGCAAGUAGAGAAUACUAAGGGGCGCGAGGUAACUCUCUCCAAGGAACUCGGCAAAAUGACCCCGUAACUUCGGGAGAAGGGGUGCCACCGAGAGGUGGUCGCAGUGAAGAGUCCCAGGCGACUGUUUAGCAAAAACAUAGGUCUCUGCAAACUCGAAAGAGGAGGUAUAGGGGCUGACGCCUGCCCAGUGCCGGAAGGUUAAAGAAGUUGGUUAGUCGAAAGAUUAAGCUAACGACUGAAGCCCCGGUGAACGGCGGCCGUAACUAUAACGGUCCUAAGGUAGCGAAAUUCCUUGUCGGGUAAGCUCCGACCCGCACGAAAGGCGUAACGAUCUGGGAGCUGUCUCGGAGAGAGGCUCGGCGAAAUAGGAUUGUCUGUGAAGAUACGGACUACCUGCAUUUGGACAGAAAGACCCUAUGAAGCUUUACUGUAGCUUGGAAUUGUGUUCGGGCUUGCUGUGCGCAGGAUAGGUGGGAGGCUAUGAAGGUAUGCUUGUGGGUGUACUGGAGCCGUCAGUGAGAUACCCCUCUCAGGGGGCUAGAAUUCUAACUAAAGAAAGGACAGUUUCAGGUGGGCAGUUUGACUGGGGCGGUCGCCUCCAAAAAGGUAACGGAGGCGUACAAAGGUUCCUUCAGACUGGUUGGAAAUCAGUCGCAGAGUGCAAAGGCAGAAAGGAGCUUGACUGCGAGAAUUACAGUUCGAGCAGGGUGGAAACACGGUCUUAGUGAUCCGACGGUGCUGUGUGGAAGGGCCGUCGCUCAACGGAUAAAAGUUACUCUAAGGACAACAGGCUGAUCUCCCCCAAGAGUUCACAUCGACGGGGAGGUUUGGCACCUCGAUGUCGGCUCAUCGCAACCUGGGGCGGAAGUACGUCCCAAGGGUUGGGCUGUUCGCCCAUUAAAGCGGUACGUGAGCUGGGUUCAGAACGUCGUGAGACAGUUCGGUCCAUAUCCGAUGUAGGCGAGAGAAUAUUGAGAGGAGCCUUCCUUAGUACGAGAGGACCGGGAAGGACGCACCGCUGGUGUACCUGUUAUGAUGCCAAUUGUAAACGCAGGGUAGCCAAGUGCGGAGAGGAUAACCGCUGAAAGCAUCUAAGUGGGAAGCCCACCUCAAGAUGAGUAUUCUGUGUUAAGGUCACGGGAAGACGACCCGUAAUAGGCACGAGGUGGAAGUGCAGUAAUGUAUGAAGCCGAAGUGUACUAAUAGACCGUCAGCUUGA
RNAcentral lists this ribosomal RNA (1323 nucleotides) under metagenome. Its description in RNAcentral is "bacterial LSU rRNA". It matches the Rfam family "Bacterial large subunit ribosomal RNA", at positions 1561 to 2925 of the family's 2925-position model. The record is from RNAcentral.